Molecule: long non-coding RNA, 645 nt
Filed under: Olea europaea (common olive)
Lineage: Eukaryota; Viridiplantae; Streptophyta; Magnoliopsida; Lamiales; Oleaceae
Description: long non-coding RNA (OEUR_LNC005318)
Source: RNAcentral
AUCGCCCAAUUUUCCCCCAAUUCAACCACCGCCCACACAGUAGGUUUCACGCAAGGAACUCGACUGCACUCUCUAGCAAUGGUUUUCGCCUCCACUCCGACUUCAUUUAUCAAACUAACGAAAAUACUUAGAAGAAAAAAGGAGAAAAAGAAAUGACAAAAUCCCCCAAGAAUCAAGAUCCCUUCCGCACCAGAGUUUAUCUAUUUAACUUCCAUGCUAGAAGUCGGUGAAAUUUCUACCUUAGAUGUUACAAGGCCACCAGCUAAUUCCUAUAUAAUUCUUAUCUUUACAGCAGCACUAUCUUGCAGAUUCUUAAAAAUAGUACGUUCUUACAUCUUGAGUUCAUGGAAUUUUGUUGGAGUACAUCUACUUCUUUUGUUGAGGAGCCCCAUUUGCCAAAUUUCAAUGAACAUGACAGAUAUGCAAGGCAGAAGACAGCCCAAAGUGGAAUACACAGGGGAAGGGUUCCACUUGAUUAGUAGUUACGAGUCAAAUGGGUUAUGAUAUGAACUUUUGUUUAUGUAGGAUGACUAGGGUUAUGAUAUGAACUCUUGUUUAUGUAAGAUUAUGAUGAUCGAACUUAUUUGAUCUCUGUAUGUAAACUAUUCGAAUGUCAAUUGGUACAUCGCAUUUUUUAGCCUUGCA